UUUCCGUAGGUGAACCUGCGGAAGGAUCAUUAACGAAUAAGGGUCAUUCUGGCCCCACCUCCAACCCUUUGUCUACUUACUAUGUUGCUUUGUCGGGCCCGUUUUAUGAUCGCCGGCAUUACUCGGAACUUUCGCCCGUGCUCACCAACAGCCUUCUACAAGUUAUUGAUCAAUUGUGAUCUCUGUAUAAUUAAUAUAAUAGUUAAAACUUUCAACAACGGCUCUCAUGGUUCUAGCAUCUAUGAAGAACGCAGCAGAUCAGAAGAGCACAGGUCUGAA
RNAcentral lists this unclassified non-coding RNA (279 nucleotides) under plant metagenome. RNAcentral's name for it is "partial contains small subunit ribosomal RNA, internal transcribed spacer 1, and 5.8S ribosomal RNA". The record is from RNAcentral.